Long non-coding RNA from Puntigrus tetrazona (Sumatra barb), 327 nucleotides. RefSeq lists it as uncharacterized. The transcript has 3 exons. Lineage: Eukaryota; Metazoa; Chordata; Actinopteri; Cypriniformes; Cyprinidae. The record is from RefSeq and is a predicted model, not a curated record.
CAAAGGACCAGAUGCACUGACAGCGGUGGAGACUAGAAGUGAUUUGUCAUCGUCCCGAUCUGAAUAUUCAGGAGUCAGACGAGACAAACCGCGUGACGCGUUUCGUCCUGAAAGAGAAAACAGAUGCAGCACGCGGAGCUCGAGCGGGAGGUGUGAAGAAACGCAGUCCUGGAGAAGAACAGCGUUCUCGCUCUGUCUUACACUCCCUCUGACAGCAGUGUGUGUGUGUGUGUGUGUGUGUGUGUGUGUGCCUCCAGCAACACUGCUCUCACUCAGAGUCUCCGGCCGCAAACAAGCGCAGCGCUACGAGGCACAGGAGCGAGCGGC